Molecule: ribosomal RNA, 1005 nt
Filed under: Triticum aestivum (bread wheat)
Lineage: Eukaryota; Viridiplantae; Streptophyta; Magnoliopsida; Poales; Poaceae
Description: partial small subunit ribosomal RNA
Source: RNAcentral
AUGGCGGCCGCCCGAGAAAGACGGCUGCCGCAGCUGCACCUCACGCUCGACGCCCCAACGUGGGCCUUCCGGUGCCCGGCCCCGGCGCCGGUCACCGCGGCGACGCCGUCCACCUCGGCGGCUCGGCCGGACGGCGAGUUCCGCCUGAGCGACUUUGACAUGCUCAAAGUCCUUGGGCGCGGGAACGGCGGGACCGUCCAUAAGGCCUCGCACCGCCGCACGUCGGCGCUGUACGCGCUCAAGAUUAUUCACCGCGGCCAUCCCGGCGCCGACGAGGAGGUGGAUGUUGUGCGCCGCGUCGACUCGCCGCACAUCGUCCGGUGUCACUCGGUGCUCCCGACGCCGUCCGGCGACUCUGCCUUGCUCCUCGAGCUGAUGGACGGCGGUUCGCUCGACUCGCUCGUCCGCGGCGGCCAGGGAGGCUUCCCGGAGGCGGCGCUGGCCGAGGUGGCGGCCCAGGCGCUGGCCGGCCUGGCGUACCUCCGCGCGCGCCGCGUGGUCCACCGGGACAUGAAGCCGGCGAACCUCCUGGUCAACAGGGCCGGUCAGGUCAAAAUCGGCGACUUCGGGAUCGCCGAGGUCGUCUCCCGCGCCGGCAAGUACCGCGCGGCCUACGAGGGCACCGCCGCGUACAUGAGCCCCGAGAGAUUCGACACGGAGCGGCUGCACGAGGGCGAGGAGGACCGCGUCGACCCCUACGCCGCCGACGUGUGGGGGCUGGGCGUGACCGUCCUGGAGCUCCUCAUGGGGCGCUACCCGCUGCUCCCCGCCGGGCAGGAGCUGACCUGGGCGGCGCUCAUGUGCGCCAUCUGCUUCGGUGAGCUCCCAGCACUUCCCGACGGCUCGGCGUCGCCGGAACUCCGGAGCUUCGUGUCCGCGUGCCUGCAGAAAGACCACCGGAAGCGUGCAUCAGUUGCGGAGCUCGUCGCGCACCCGUUCGUCGCCGGGAGGGACGUGGCAGCGGCGAGACAUGCGCUCCGGGAAGUGAUCGCCCAGCGCGUUUAG